UUAAAGAGUUCUAUAACUCCCAAACCCAUGUGAACAUACCUAACGUUGCCUCGGCAGGUCGCACCUACCUUGUAGCACCCUACCCUGUAGGGCCUACCCGGGAGGUGCGGGUAAGCCUGCCGGCGGCCCACCAAACUCUGUUUGAUAUUGAAUUCUGAACCUAUAACUAAAUAAGUUAAAACUUUCAACAACGGAUCUCUUGGUUCUGGCAUCGAUGAAGAACGCAGCGAAAUGCGAUAAGUAAUGUGAAUUGCAGAAUUCAGUGAAUCAUCGAAUCUUUGAACGCAUAUUGCGCCCAUUAGUAUUCUAGUGGGCAGGACCGUUCGAGCGUCAUUUCAACCCUUAAGCCUUCGUUGCUUAGUGUUGGGAGCCUACGGCAACGUAGCUCCUCAAAGUUAGUGGCGGAGUUGGUUCACACUCUAGACGUAGUAAUUUUUUAUCUCGCCUAUUAGUUGGACUAAUCCCCUGCCGUAAAACCCCUAAUUUAUCAAGGUUGACCUCGAAUCGGUUCAGACAAACUCGCUAAAUUGAAGCAUCUUAGUCAGCGAAGGAAAAGAAACCAACAGGGAUUGCCCUAGUAACGGCGAGUGAAGCGGC
RNAcentral lists this ribosomal RNA (597 nucleotides) under fungal endophyte. Its description in RNAcentral is "eukaryotic LSU rRNA". The stretch from base 180 to 333 matches the Rfam family "5.8S ribosomal RNA". Lineage: Eukaryota; Fungi. The record is from RNAcentral.